Molecule: long non-coding RNA, 457 nt
Organism: Poecile atricapillus (Black-capped chickadee)
Lineage: Eukaryota; Metazoa; Chordata; Aves; Passeriformes; Paridae
Exons: 3
Source: RefSeq, a predicted model, not a curated record
GCUCUCUCCAGCUGGCACAGGACAGGCGCCGAGCAGCCGAGCACUUGCGCCGGGCCCUGCCGUACCUGCAGAGCCCACAGGAGACCCUGCAAGAGGCGGCCAUCAGGUUCAUCGGGAUGGCCGGGCGGCUCCUGAGGGGGCAGAAGGAAGAGCUGCAGGCCCUCACUGAGGCACUUCAAGCCCUGAGGAGAGAUGACAACCCUUCCCAUUCAAACACAGCACUUCAAGAGAUACUUAGUAAAAGAGCUGCAGAACUAUGCUCAUCUGCUGGCUCAGAAGAACCAGUGUUCAUUUAAGAUCUUCAGAUGCCAUGGAAGAUGAGAGUACAUUUAGACCAGAAGACACCAGCUAGAGGUCCAGGCACCGCUGAUGACUGGCACAGCUGAGCCUGUGGGAAGCUCGUGUAGCUUCAGCCCUCUCCCUCCCUUUUGACAGCUCCCUCCCUGCAGCCCUCAGA